This is a non-coding RNA of Prunus mume (Japanese apricot), 4621 nucleotides long. Lineage: Eukaryota; Viridiplantae; Streptophyta; Magnoliopsida; Rosales; Rosaceae. The record is from RefSeq and is a predicted model, not a curated record.
AAAAGAAAAGCAACAAGCACUCAUGUGCAUACUGUAACAUACACUUGCUAAGCACCGUUGUUGCUCUGCGUCUUCUGUUUUCGUUCGCAUUUAGCAUCUCUCUCUCUCUCUCUCUCUCUCUCUCUCUCUUUUGUGCGGAGAGACUCUUUGCGUUUCUGGAGCAAUCCGCGCCAACUGUAACUACUACUUUUUACUCUACACACUUCACGCAAAACGAUUUCGUUCAUGAAAACCCUAGUGUGCUGAGAAAAUGUGCGAAUUGGGAUAGGGUUUAGGGUCUUGAAUCGAAUUGACGGAUAAUAGGGAAUUUUCCUGGUACCAAAAUCAUAUCUUUUUUGGUUUACCUAUUGUAAUGUUUGGCUGCUGAGAAAGUGUGGGAAUUGGGGAUUUGGGAAGGAAAGUUUAAUGUUUAAUGUUUAUUUUUUAUUUAUAUAUAUACGAAUCUUAAAUUUAAUAACUUCAGGCUUAUGAAAGUGGCAACCGUACAAAAACACGGAUUUUGAUUGAUCUUUUUCGGUCCGGUGUUUUGGUACGCGUAAGUUUGGGUUUUUCUUUACCAUUUUGCUGAUUAUUACUAAAUGCCUAAUGCAGUGAUUGGGUACACACUGGAUUUGCAUGUCUGACUAUUCACUUGCAUAUCGCUGUGCGCCUUCCUGCUUUCUUGUUUUGUUUGUAAAAGUGGGUAAUUGCUUCUAUGCGUUGGGUCAUUAGAUUUGCAUGAGGAUUUGUUGUAUGAUUUUGAACUGAGUAAGGCCCUUUACCUGUUGCUUGAGGAAAAAAAAGACGAGGUGUUGCUUUGAGGCCAAUAUGUCAUAAAUGUUGACGGAAGAUAGUUUGUUUCUUUAUGUUCACAAAGGGCCUCACAAUUUCUGUUCUCAAUCAGGUUGAUAAAAUUUAUGCACCAGGACCUGAAGCUGAGCUUGUAGAGCGGCAUGGGAUUUGAUAAUGAGUGCGUAUUGAAUAUCCAAUCUCUUGCCGGAGAGUACUUUUGUCUGGUUUGUAGUCUGUUUGUCUACCCGAUGAAGCAUUGCAGUGACAGUGCACUCAUCUAUACUAGAAGCCAUAUUUGACAUACGUUGUGAGCCCUACCUGACAGUUCCCAUAUGACAGCUACUUAGUGACAGAAGCCGAUGCCAAGCCACUUGUCGAACGGAAUAAGACCCGCCCUGAAACCAUAGGAAAAGUAGCAGUUGAUUGCCUCUAUCACAGGAGUGGAUGCACAUGGCAGGGAGCUGUGGAUGUGCCUUUGGCAAUUUUCCUGUAGUAUGCAACAGGUGUGGAAUCCAAAUUGUGCAUCGUCAGGUGCAGGAGCAUGCACAAAAUUGCCCUGGUGUGCAGCCUCAAGCGCAGCAGGCUGAUGGUGCUUUGGACACUUCAGCUUCUGGCACAUCAGCCACUGCUGAUCAGACCCAGGCUGCCACUCAGUCAGGAGUAGCGAAGUCUCAGGCCCAGGUUUUUCAAAUUACAAGUGUCACUCCACCUGGAUCCGAUCCAGAUCAGAAAGCAAACUCUAGUUCUCAAGCUGUUGUUCAAGCUGCUGUGCAAACUGCUGAACAGUGGUACCAACAUCAGCAACAAUAUCAACAGUACUACCUUAAGAACUACUUUACCUAUCAACAGGCAGCAGUUCAACAAUCACAGCAGCGGCAUUUGCAAUCUCAUCCAACAUACGGGACAGUCCAGAAUCAACCUCGGGCAUACUUGCAAUCUCAGCCCCAAACUCAACCUUCACUACGGGCCCAACUAUCUCAAUCUCAAGCUCAACCCCAACCCCAAAUUCAGCCCCCGCAUGUGCAGGUUCCUGUUGCCUCUCAAACUCAAAAUCAGGCACAAGUGAACAAACAGCAGCAACUUCACCCUGCAGUGCAGACUUAUCCAGCUGCUCGUAGGCAGCCACUCCCUCAACCUCAAUAUUUCCAAGCUCCAUCCCAUUCACAACCACAUCCUCAGCAUGUGCAAAUGCCUCAUAAUCAGCAGGCCCAAAUUCAGCAACAUACCCACUCCAAGAUUCACCCGCAACACCAUCCCAUUUCUCAACCCCAACCUCAUUCACAACCUCAGCCACAGCUUCAACGGCAUCCCCAGCCCCAUCCCCAACUUCACCCUUCUCAGCCCAUGAAUACUACCGUCCAGCCUCAGACACAACAUCCAUCAUCUCAUGCAGUGACUGGUAAUCACUUGUACCCUCAACCUCGCCUUCACCAACCAGUGCAGUCAGGCGCCCCACAACAACGUACUAUGGACAUGCAAUCUCAUGGUGUACCUCACUCUCAGUCACAAACUCCUGUUCAAAUACAGAGUCAGUCCCCUCAACAACCCCCAGUCAUGCGGCUGCCCCCAUCUCAUAUUCCAAACCAGCAGCAGCCAGCUUUGUUGCCUUCUCCUGGUCAAAUCCGAAACAUUAAUCCUGCACAACAGCAGCCGGUUCACUCUUAUGCUCAGCAACCUGGGAAUACUGUUCAACAGCGCCCUCUUAUGCAUGCAGUUCAACGAUCUAUUCCUCGUCAAUAUCUCCACCAUCAGCCCUAUGUACAACAGCAACCACCUACACAGUUACAUCCCCGGGGUCAAUCUCAUUCAUUCCCUCUGCAUGUUCAUGCCUCUACACAGUCUCAGCGGAACAUUGCAUUGUCUCAGGGCAUUGAACUUAGCCAGUCUAAUCUUGGCGGAAGCAGAAGGCCUAUGAUGCCAAUUCAUGGAGUACAAUCUCAGACCUCUGUACAAACUGCUGGAGGUCUUCACAUGAGGCCAGUGCAUCCUGCUGUAAAUCUUCCAUCUACAAAUCAGAGCAAUAUGGUCAGAACAAAAAACCUAGUGCAAUCUGGAGCGAACUGGAGACCAACCACGUCUGAGAGGCAUGCUGAGCAAGAAUCUGAGUCAUCAGCUCAGCAAAUUGUUAAAAAUGUUACACAUGAUGUGGGUACAGCAUCUGCUGUGGUAGGUGAUGCCGAGGUUAAAACUGGGAAAUCUGAGAUGGAUAUGAAGUCCAUUGAUAAUGAGGUUAAACCUACUGGUGAAGAUAAAACUAAUCAUGGUGAUACAUCUUCCAAGGAGAUUCCAGAUAUACAUGCACUUGAAAAUGGAGAGUCUGUAAGUCAUUCAAUGUUGAAUGCAGCUGAUCAAAAUAAGGCACGAAAGUCGGGGGUGGCGAGAGGGAGGCAUUAUAGAGGGGUGAGGCAGAGGCGGUUGGGGAAGUUCACGGCUGAGAUUCGGGACCCAGCUAAGAAGGUAUCCAGAAACAGAGUGUGGCUUGGGUGCUAUGAGACCUCUGAGGAAGCGGCUUUGGCUUAUGAUAGAGCCGCCCAACGCAUACAUGGCUCCAAGGCUUUGCUCAAUUUCCCAAUCUGCCACACCAGAUUGCCUUGAAUGAGCCUCCACCUGUCUGAGUCACUGGCAAGCUCAAAGAACCAGAGAAAGAGGCUGCCACUGCUUCAACAACGCCGAAAUCCAGUAAGAGGACCACUCCUCGGCGGCUGACCAUGAUCAUCAAGCAAAUGUGUUUCGGACAAUGCAAAAGAAUAGUAUGGGUCUGCUGUCACUUGGCGAGAAACUAUUGCAAAUCGUGGUCGGGUUGGUGGGGUGAUUGUAGACCGGCAAGACAGACUUAUACUUACUCGCCUUUUCUUUCCAAGCUUGGAGUCGUGGAUCCAAAAGCUACUGAGGAGAGGACCUUCAAUGUAGGCGUUGAUGAGGUUGUGAACUUGCUUAUGUGCUCAUUAGUCCCCAAGACACCCUUUACUGAUAUGCUGCUCAAGCCUAAACCAGAAGCACAAUUGAUCAACGAAUUUUGUGAUCAGCGAAUAUCUAUAAUUUCUCAAGUGGCAGAAUACACCAUGCGUGGUGAUCCAAACAUUUCUUUUACACUUAUAGUUAGCUAGUCAACCAAGAAGGUUUGCUAUGCUGAAGCAGGGGAGGAUUUUGUAAUUUUUUUUCUUCAGUUUCCUUAUUGUUCCACUUGGGUUUAUACUGAAGCAGACAGGCGAUGGUUCUUCUUGGACAGGAUGCAUUGAUAACUUGUACAAGAGUGUAGAAGAUAUUGAUGGCCAAUACUUGAUGUCAACUUCCCACUAAACAAUUCUACUUAGUCCCAAGCUAGCCCUUGGUUUUAGCUAUGCUAACCAUCCUUAGGAAUUGAGGGAGCCACUUCCCACUCUAAUAUAUCAGAGAAACCAGUUUUUGUAGACCCCCAAAUCAUGAUUGUGUUGGAGGAUUCUUAAGAGCUCCGGCAAUGUACAUGGUAACUGAUAGCCUGAUCGUAAGACUGUUAUUGCCAAUCUUUGGCCUCUCCGUUGUGACCAAUUGAGUGUACCUGUCACUGACAUUGAAGUGCAAUGAAUCUUGGCAAGGUGGAGGCUGUGAGUCUUUUGGUGGCUGCGUUUCUUUUUUACUCUCCUCUAACUGGUUUCUAUAGGAUGACAGAUCAAGAACAAUAGAGGCUGUUUUUAAAAGCUAUCGUCGGAAGGCCAUUGCGUUUGAAAUGAUCUAGUUGUUUUAUUUGUACCAAAAACUUUCUACUGCUCAACUUUAAAGGCAAACAGCUUUUUUGUGAAAAACAGAGGAUGUAUUUGUUGAAAACAUGAGCACCAGUGGACAAAUUGUUGUUUGGGGCGAUCAAACAAGA